This 373-nucleotide ribosomal RNA is filed under the name uncultured bacterium. RNAcentral describes it as "bacterial SSU rRNA". It matches the Rfam family "Bacterial small subunit ribosomal RNA", at positions 527 to 898 of the family's 1533-position model. The record is from RNAcentral.
GUAGGGAGCAAGCGUUGUCCGGAAUCAUUGGGCGUAAAGCGCGCGUAGGCGGCCCGGUAAGUCCGCUCUGAAAGUCAAAGGCUCAACCUUUGAAAGCGGGUGGAUACUGCUGGGCUAGAGUCCGGAAGAGGCGAGUGGAAUUCCUGGUGUAGCGGUGGAAUGCGCAGAUAUCAGGAGGAACACCAACGGCGAAGGCAGCUCGCUGGGACGGUACUGACGCUGAGGCGCGAAAGCGUGGGGAGCAAACAGGAUUAGAUACCCUGGUAGUCCACGCCGUAAACGAUGGGCAUUAGGUGUGGGAGGUGUCGACUCCUCCCGUGCCGGCGCUAACGCAUUAAAUGCCCCGCCUGGGGAGUACGGCCGCAAGGCUAAA